UCUCCGUAGGUGAACCUGUGGAAGGAUCAGUAUUGUAUAACCGAGAUGCGAGGGCUGUCGCUGACCCGAAAGGUCGUGCACGCCCGAGUGCCCUCACACAGAUCCAUCUCACCCCUAUGUGCACCACCGCGUGGGUCCCCCUUUGGCUUGUUCGGAGGGGGUCUUACGUUUUCACACAUACUUUGUAUGAAGUGUAGAAUGUAUUUUUUGUUUUUGAGAUCACGCAAACAAUACAACUUUCAACAACGGAUCUCUUGGCUCUA
RNAcentral lists this unclassified non-coding RNA (263 nucleotides) under plant metagenome. RNAcentral's name for it is "partial contains small subunit ribosomal RNA, internal transcribed spacer 1, and 5.8S ribosomal RNA". The record is from RNAcentral.